AGAGUUUGAUCAUGGCUCAGAUUGAACGCUGGCGGUAUGCUUAACACAUGCAAGUCGAACGGUAACAGCAGAGCUUGCUCUGGCUGACGAGUGGCGGACGGGUGCGUAACGCGUGGGAAUUUACCUUAUAGUGGGGGAUAGCCCGGAGAAAUCCGGAUUAACACCGCAUAAUCUCUACGGAGGGAAAGCUUUAGCGCUAUUAGAUGAGCCCGCGUUAGAUUAGCUUGUUGGUAGGGUAAAGGCCUACCAAGGCUACGAUCUAUAGCUGGUCUGAGAGGAUGAUCAGCCACACUGGGACUGAGACACGGCCCAGACUCCUACGGGAGGCAGCAGUGGGGAAUAUUGGACAAUGGGCGAAAGCCUGAUCCAGCAAUGCCACGUGAGUGAUGAAGGCCUUCGGGUUGUAAAGCUCUUUCAGCAAGGAAGAUAAUGACGGUACUUGCAGAAGAAGCACCGGCUAACUCCGUGCCAGCAGCCGCGGUAAUACGGAGGGUGCUAGCGUUGUUCGGAAUUACUGGGCGUAAAGGGCGCGUAGGCGGUUUGUUAAGUUGGAAGUGAAAUCCCGGAGCUCAACUCCGGAACUGCUUUCAAAACUGGCUUACUAGAGUUAUGUAGAGGAUAGUGGAAUUCCCAAUGUAGAGGUGAAAUUCGUAGAUAUUGGGAGGAACACCAGAAGCGAAGGCGACUAUCUGGGCCUUAACUGACGCUGAGGCGCGAAAGUGUGGGGAGCAAACAGGAUUAGAUACCCUGGUAGUCCACACUGUAAACGAUGAGUGCUAGGUAUCGGAUCUCUGAUUCGGUGUCGAAGCUAACGCAUUAAGCACUCCGCCUGGGGACUACGGUCGCAAGAUUAAAACUCAAAGGAAUUGACGGGGGCUCGCACAAGUGGUGGAGCAUGCGGUUUAAUUCGAUGCUACGCGAAAAACCUUACCAACCCUUGACAUGGUGGUCGCAGAACCACAGAGAUGAGAUUCUUCAGUUUGGCUGGACCACACACAGGUGUUGCAUGGCUGUCGUCAGCUCGUGUCGUGAGAUGUUGGGUUAAGUCCCGCAACGAGCGAAACCCUCAUCCUUAUUUGCCAGCGAUUCGGCCGGGGACUCUAGGGAAACUGCCGGUGAUAAGCCGGAGGAAGGCGGGGAUGACGUCAAGUCCUCAUGGCCCUUAUGGGCUGGGCUACACACGUGCUACAAUGGCGGUGACAGUGGGCAGCGAAGGGGUGACCUGGAGCUAAUCCCCAAAAACCGUCUCAGUUCGGAUUCUACUCUGUAACUCGAGUGCAUGAAGUUGGAAUCGCUAGUCAUCGCGGAUCAGCAUGCCGCGGUGAAUACGUUCCCGGGCCUUGUACACACCGCCCGUCACACCAUGGGAGUUGGUUUUACCCGAAGCCGGUGCGCUAACCGCAAGGAGGCAGCCGACCACGGUAGGGUCAGCGACUGGGGUGAAGUCGUAACAAGGUAGCCGUA
Molecule: ribosomal RNA, 1464 nt
Filed under: uncultured prokaryote
Description: partial 16S ribosomal RNA
Rfam family: Bacterial small subunit ribosomal RNA
Source: RNAcentral